RNAcentral lists this ribosomal RNA (253 nucleotides) under uncultured bacterium. Its description in RNAcentral is "partial 16S ribosomal RNA". It matches the Rfam family "Bacterial small subunit ribosomal RNA", at positions 524 to 776 of the family's 1533-position model. The record is from RNAcentral.
UACGUAGGCAGCGAGCGUUGUUCGGAAUUACUGGGCGUAAAGAGUGUGUAGGCGGUGCUCUAAGUUCGGUGUGAAAUCUCCCGGCUUAACUGGGAGGGUGCGCCGGAAACUGGAGUGCUCGAGCGUGGGAGAGGAAAGCGGAAUUCCUGGUGUAGCGGUGAGAUGCGUAGAUAUCUGGAGGAACACCGGUGGCGAAGGCGGCAUCCUGGACCGGCAUUGACGCUGAGGCGCGAAAGCCAGGGGAGCAAACGGG